This 91-nucleotide ribosomal RNA is filed under the name Kurthia sp. The record is from RNAcentral. Lineage: Bacteria; Bacillati; Bacillota; Bacilli; Caryophanales; Caryophanaceae.
CACCCGUUCCCAUGCCGAACACGGAAGUUAAGCUCUUUAGCGCCGAUGGUAGUUGGGGGUUUCCCCCUGUGAGAGUAGGACGUUGCUAUGC